AGUUCAUUGAAAUAUAUUUUGAAUUUUUUCCUGCCCAGUGUAUAAAAAUAAAUGGCCGCAGUACCUUGACUGUGCUAAGGUAGCAUAAUCAAUUGGCUUUUAAUUGAAGUCUUGGAUGAAAGGAUUUAUGGGAAUAUUCUGUUUCAAAAGUAUUAUUUUUAAUUUAUUUAUUAGGUGAAAAUACCUUCAUAAUUAUAAAAGACGAGAAGACCCUAAGAAUUUUUAGGAAAUUUUUUUUCAUUAUCCUUUUUGUUGGGGCGACAGAUAAACAAAAAAACUUAAUUUUUAGUAUAUAUCGAUUAUUUUAGUAAAAAUUAAAUUACCUUAGGGAUAACAGCAUAGUUUUAAAAAGUUUGUGACCUCGAUGUUGGACUAGGAACUUAAUGGCUAGCAGUCAGUAAAGAGUGUUCUGUUCGAACAGUUAUUGCC
This 429-nucleotide ribosomal RNA is filed under the name Ancylidae sp. Ac2_18. RNAcentral's name for it is "partial 16S large subunit ribosomal RNA". Lineage: Eukaryota; Metazoa; Mollusca; Gastropoda; Ancylidae. The record is from RNAcentral.